Molecule: ribosomal RNA, 690 nt
Filed under: Clostridioides difficile
Lineage: Bacteria; Bacillati; Bacillota; Clostridia; Peptostreptococcales; Peptostreptococcaceae
Description: partial 23S ribosomal RNA
Rfam family: Bacterial large subunit ribosomal RNA
Source: RNAcentral
UUUAACUGAGCGUUCAGUUACUUGACGUAGACCCGAAACCGGGCGACCUACCCAUGAGCAGGAUGAAGCGAAAGUAAAAUUUCGUGGAGGUCCGAACCCACGAGCGUUGAAAAGCUCGGGGAUGACUUGUGGGUAGCGGUGAAAUUCCAAUCGAGCCCGGAGAUAGCUGGUUCUCCCCGAAAUAGCUUUAGGGCUAGCCUCAAGGUGAGAGAUACGGAGGUAGAGCACUGAAUGUCCUAGGGGGUAUUGCACCUACCGAAGACUAUCAAACUCCGAAUGCCGUCAUCUUAUACUUGGGAGUCAGACUGUGGGUGAUAAGAUUCAUAGUCGAAAGGGCAACAGCCCAGAUCGUCAGCUAAGGUCCCUAAAUGUAAGUUAAGUGGUAAAGGAUGUGGGAUUGCACAGACAACCAGGAUGUUGGCUUAGAAGCAGCCACUCAUUCAAAGAGUGCGUAAUAGCUCACUGGUCGAGUGAUCCUGCGCCGAAGAUUUCCGGGGCUAAAACUUACUACCGAAGCUACGGCAUCAGUAAUGAUGGGUAGGGGAGCUUCCCAUACGGGUUGAAGCAUGACCGUAAGGACAUGUGGACAGUAUGGGAGUGAGAAUGUUGGCAUGAGUAGCGAGAUGUGGGUGAGAAUCCCACAGGCCGUAAACCCAAGGUUUCCAGGGGAAGGUUCGUCCGCCCUGGGUU